AGGUGUGGUCCGGCGUCGGAGGGUUAUCUGAUCAUCCCUUCGGGGAAUUUCCCUUCGGCACAAACUCGACUACUCU
RNAcentral lists this small RNA (76 nucleotides) under Haemonchus placei. RNAcentral's name for it is "Nematode sRNA ceN72-3_ceN74-2". It matches the Rfam family "Nematode sRNA ceN72-3_ceN74-2". Lineage: Eukaryota; Metazoa; Nematoda; Chromadorea; Rhabditida; Trichostrongylidae. The record is from Rfam by way of RNAcentral.